Molecule: non-coding RNA, 72 nt
Organism: Potamilus streckersoni
Lineage: Eukaryota; Metazoa; Mollusca; Bivalvia; Unionida; Unionidae
Source: the annotation of a GenBank genome assembly
GACUGGUGGCCUAGUGGUUAGAGCAUCCGCCUCGGAUGCAGGAGGUUGUGGAUUCCAUCCCCGUUCGAGUCA